CCCUCCCCCAUCAACGCCCCCCACCCCACCCCCUUCCACCUCGGAUGAAAACUCGGAGCCGCCGCGACUCAGAGGCGAUUGCGCGGGCGACUUCGAGUCGAGCGCCACUGCGAGUCGCAUCGGGGGGGGGGGGGGGGCGAUCCGACUGAGUUGACGCGACUGGAGAACAACGCUCCUGCACGGCAUUGUCCACUCAUGGGUGUCGUCCACCUACCGACGUCUACCCCACAAGUCCCGUCCACCUACCGGCGUCAUCCCACCAGCCCUGCCCCCAUCUACCGGCGUCAUCCCACCAGCCCUGCCCAUCUACCGGCGUUCUCCUGAUCAGCGGCGACCUCAACCCGGGAUCCAACUCCACUCCGGGGACGCGAGGACGACGAGGCCACACAGUGUUAUUGACGAACGUGCUGGUGAUACUAUUUGACGAAUCCAUCCAUUGGCUCUCCAACGGCUUCAGCGUCACACUCCACGGCAGGCGCAUCACGUGGUUCACUGAUGGACGCGAUUCGUAUUCUACACAAUCCAUGGUUCCAGAGGCGAAUCUCCCCCCCACCCCCUCGUCGACGUCCUGGAAGGAUUGUGGCAGAGCGACUUCUUCAUUCGGGAAUGAAUCUACGGUGAGUGACGUGCGCCGCUACAAUUCCCCGGGCUCAGAGGCGGGCUAUGAAGAGGGGCCGUUGCCCGAAACGUCUCCAAUUUAAUUAAUUUAGUUUAUUUUAAGGCCACGGUCUUGUCGACGAGUGCGUUAAUUUUUUAUUGGGGUGUGGGUUUUGGUGAGCAAUUAGCGAUUUAAAAAAAUAUGUCGACGUGUUAAAAGCGCAUUAAAAUAAUCUCCAUUGAUCACUCACGGAGACCCCAUUGAUCACUCACGGAGACCCCAUUGAUCACUCACGGAGACCCCAUUGAUCACUCACGGAGACCCCAUUGAUCACUCACGGAGACCCCAUUGAUCACUCACGGAGACCCCAUUGAUCACUCACGGAGACCCCAUUGAGUCUCACGACUCCUUGUCAGGAGGGUGCUGCCACAUUGGGGAUGUGUGGCCACGAAUUCCACUCGUGAUAAUUUGCUGGCUUCGUGUGGAUCUAUGGGUCCCUGUGUGAGUCUGUGGGUCUCUGUGCGAGUCUGUGGGUCUCUGUGUGAGUCUGUGGGUCUCUGUGCGAGUCUGUGGGUCUCUGUGCGAGUCUGUGGGUCUCUGUGUGAGUCUGCGGGUCUCUGUGCGAGUCUGUGGGUCUCUGUGCGAGUCUGUGGGUCUCUGUGCGAGUCUGUGGGUCUCUGUGUGAGUCUGUGUGUAUCUAUAUUUGGUCUGUGGAUCUUUGUGUGAGUCUGUGAGUAAUUGUGUGAGUCUGUGGGUCUCUGUGUUAAGUCUGUGGGUCUCUGUGUGAGUGUGUUUGUCUCUGUGUGAGUCUGUGUGUCUCUUUGUUAGGUCUGUGGAUCUGUGUGAGUCUGACGGCUCUCUCUGUGUUAAGUCUGUGAGUUUCUGUGUGAGUGUGUCUGUCCCUGCGUGAGUCUGUGGGUCUCUGUGUGAGUCUGUGGGUCUCUGUGUGAGCCUGUGGGUCUCUAUGAAUUCCACUCACGACACUUUGGUGGCUUCGUGCGUUGGGGAGAAUGCUCAGACAACCCACGACGCGCGACGGCUCCAGUCGCCCCACAGAUGGAUUCAAUCGGGGUUAGCUUCCGAGAUCCGACGGUAGCGGGCACGUUUGGCUCCACGAUUUGAUUCGCCCGGUGGGAAGGUUGCGCAAACUUUGACCGGUUUCCCCAAAUCGGAGUCACCUCCCGACAGCGGCCUCUUGCGGCGUCCGUGCGAUCUGAUUCGUCGGCGCUGAUUUCACAGCCGCGUUCCCGAUCGUUUGAGCGAGCGACUUACGCAGCGGUGCACGAAGCACGAUGAACAACACACGAACCAAACUCACAAACGUUCGUUAGUUACAGUGUGUGGCCCUAAAAACAGUAAAUAUAUAUGAUAGGCGACGUUUCGGGCAAUGUCCCUUCUUCACAGCAGAUACAUAGAGUGGUGGGUCGAGAGACGGAGUGGGUGGCAAUAGUUUGCGACUGCACGUGCUCACAACAUUGGGCCCUGGCGAUGCGAAUCACAUUGCUACAAAUGUGUUCUGAUGACCCGGUGUUUAAAUAGACUUGCGAAAAGUUAAGAGUGAUGCAGCAGUGGCUAUUGGGUAACAGAAAAACCCUUCAAUAAUCAAAACUGAUUACUUUACGAAAUACAAGCAUUUGUAGAGUUUCUGGCACAUUGCAUUGAUUUUUCGAUCCACAGUUAAGCAAUCAAAUCGCCCUGACGCAAGUAAAAAUAAGCGGUUGUCUUAGUUUAGCAGCACAAUCGCUUUCUAUAAUAGUUUGCCACUCAAUCGCCCGCAACUGCUUUGUCCACCCCUUAGCGAGUGGUUGCGCAUUGAGGCCGUUACACUGCGGGUCCAGGAUCGUCACGGCCAAUCAGACACAAUGGGUCGCUAAAUUACGCGCGAUGAAAGACGCUGCUGUUAAUCGGUCGCGUCUUCAUCGUCACCGUCAUCAUCAUCGUCAGCCCACUGCUGGACCGCGUUAGGUGGCGGCACGUGAUGGAGGGAAGCCUUCAUACAGCAGUGGAUAGACAACGGCUCAGGUAGACAAAGUGCAGGUCUCGGACGUCUCGUUCUGACGUUGUGGGGAUAUUAAUGGCGUUCGCGUGGGGCUCACGACGUUCAGCGUUUGGAGAUGCAAUUUGCACGAAGGACGCGAAAUGAAAACUAAAUAAUUAUUAUUGAUAAUUAUAAUAUUGAGGCCGUCUGUUGGCCGAAAUGGAGAACCCGAUCGAUUACUCUGCCAAUUGAAGUAUUGAUUGCGUCUAAAAGUAAAUUUAAAAAAGAAAGAUGCCUUUUAAAAUGACGAGACGUUCAAAGUGUCGAUCGGAUUGCGAUGGUGUCACGUUGGCGAGGCGGCGAGACGACGCGGGGGGGGGGGGGGGGAAGACUUCGUGGCAGGCGAUCGAAGAUGCCGGCUCCGACACGCACAGCUUGUGAGCGAUUGUGAGCGAGAGAUUCGCGCCGUGAAGAACAACAACAACGUCAAUGACAUCGUCCGUCCUGCACACUCAGCGUGGGCUGUCUGUUCGAUAAUCGUAAUCGAUGUCGUCGUGUGAUUAAUUGAUAUGUCGACGAUCUGUCCCGCCACUCGAGAAUAGAUUAGUAAAUACUUUUUUCAAAUUUUCUUGCUGUGGAUUUCACACCUGAUGAUGAUUGCUUGUGUUGCAGUCGAAACGUCGUGAGAAUUUUUAUUGUUUUAUAUUUGUGUUAUUUUGUUAUUUCCCUUCUACGUGACUUUACCGAAAGAAGCAAGAAUAUAGAUACAGCUGUUGUUUAAGCAACCUAUUGUUACCAGUGUUUACGUGUUAUUGGUUCUUCCGGUAAAGUCGCGUAGAAGGGAAAUAAUAAAACAAUACAAAUUUAACGUAAUAAAUUAAAAUUCUCACGACGUUUCGGCCACAACAAAAGCAGCCGUCCUCAGGUGAAGAAACAGAGCUGUCGGAAAGACAGCGUCCCAAUGAGUGGCUGUGAAUAUUAUAGUUAAGUUGCUUUGCGGGCGAAUGUGGUGGGAUUCCUCAACUACAGACGAGAGCAGUGGGAUAAUCACAAUCCCUAUCGCCUCCAACGCAGCAGCGUUCAAUAAUCAAUUACUCAGUUCGCUUUAAUCAGUUACGCACACACUCACUAUUGUAUUGUUACGCGGGCGCAGAAGUUAAAUUAUAUAUUUCUAUUUAAAGCUUUCGUGACUGCAGGGAUUCAUCGUAUUGGUUCUUUCGGUAAAGUCACGUAGAAUGGAAAUAAUAUUAUGUUUUAUUUUUUAUUAUUUUAUUAUUUCCAUUAUACGUGACUUUACCGAAAGAACCAAGAAGUUCAAAUAUAUGUUUAACAUUUACAGCCGCCUUGCCAAUCCACUGCUGGAUGAAGGCCUCUCACCAACGGCCCGUGUCGGUCGUGGGGGUUGUUUGACCACGCUGGUCAGUGCGUGUUGGUGACGGGGGGCUGCAGUGGGGAACUGGUAUUUUGUUUUGAAGAGGGGCCUUUGCACCGAAACGUCGAAUGUGUUUGUGUUUAUGCGGCCGCUAAUCGGUUGGUAUGUAAACAUGUAUGUUUGUAUGCUUUUUACAUGAGAAAAAAACCAUUCAGUAAUAAAGGAUAAUAAAAUAUAAAUAAUGGAAAAUAA
Lethenteron reissneri (Far Eastern brook lamprey) is the source of this 4200-nucleotide long non-coding RNA. RefSeq lists it as uncharacterized. NCBI's taxonomy places the organism in Eukaryota, Metazoa, Chordata, Hyperoartia, Petromyzontiformes, Petromyzontidae. The record is from RefSeq and is a predicted model, not a curated record.